This 262-nucleotide long non-coding RNA is filed under the name Vigna radiata. RNAcentral describes it as "long non-coding RNA (VRAD_LNC003638)". Lineage: Eukaryota; Viridiplantae; Streptophyta; Magnoliopsida; Fabales; Fabaceae. The record is from RNAcentral.
CUCUCUCCUACAAACUCCAAACGGUUUUUCUUCAAGAAUCAUGCAUCAAAAUGCUUUCCUCCACCUUCCAAAACAGAGAAUGACUUCAAGAAACCAAGGUUCAAGUUGCAAAUGAACACGAACAAUAAACCCCAAACUUCUACUCAUCAACCCAACUUUAACACUACCAUUUCUUCAAGUUUCUUUGCAAAAACGAAAAUGAACACCAAGCUAUCAAUUCCAGCUCUNUCCAGCCACAAUAACAACCCCAAAGUCUGGUUCC